GAUGAACGCUGACAGAAUGCUUAACACGUGCAAGUCAACUUGAAUUUGGGUUUUUAACUUAGGUUUGGGUGGCGGACGGGUGAGUAACGCGUAAAGAACUUGCCUCACAGCUAGGGACAACAUUUGGAAACGAAUGCUAAUACCUAAUAUUAUGAUAAUAGGGCAUCCUAUAAUUAUGAAAGCUAUAAGCGCUGUGAGAGAGCUUUGCGUCCCAUUAGCUAGUUGGAGAGGUAACGGCUCACCAAGGCGAUGAUGGGUAGCCGGCCUGAGAGGGUGAUCGGCCACAAGGGGACUGAGACACGGCCCUUACUCCUACGGGAGGCAGCAGUGGGGAAUAUUGGACAAUGGACCAAGAGUCUGAUCCAGCAAUUCUGUGUGCACGAUGAAGUUUUUCGGAAUGUAAAGUGCUUUCAGUUGGGAAGAAAGAAAUGACGGUACCAACAGAAGAAGUGACGGCUAAAUACGUGCCAGCAGCCGCGGUAAUACGUAUGUCACGAGCGUUAUCCGGAUUUAUUGGGCGUAAAGCGCGUCUAGGUGGUUAUGUAAGUCUGAUGUGAAAAUGCAGGGCUCAACUCUGUAUUGCGUUGGAAACUGUAUAACUAGAGUACUGGAGAGGUAAGCGGAACUACAAGUGUAGAGGUGAAAUUCGUAGAUAUUUGUAGGAAUGCCGAUGGGGAAGCCAGCUUACUGGACAGAUACUGACGCUGAAGCGCGAAAGCGUGGGUAGCAAACAGG
RNAcentral lists this ribosomal RNA (735 nucleotides) under uncultured Fusobacterium sp. RNAcentral describes it as "bacterial SSU rRNA". It matches the Rfam family "Bacterial small subunit ribosomal RNA", at positions 28 to 776 of the family's 1533-position model. The record is from RNAcentral. Lineage: Bacteria; Fusobacteriati; Fusobacteriota; Fusobacteriia; Fusobacteriales; Fusobacteriaceae.